GGGUUUUUUGCAUCUUUUUGGAAUGGUUCGGUUUUCGAGGGAUUUGUGUUUUUACUUUUUUAUCCUUUCAUAAAUAUACUGAAUUUGAUUGUUUGUAUUUUCGAUUUUUUUGUUUCCUUAUUUUUCGAAAUAGAAGUUUUUUUGUUUCCUUAUUUUUCGUUUUUUUUGUUUCCUUAUUUUUCGUUUUUUUUUUGUUUCCUUAUUUUUCGGUUAUUUAGUUUUAAAAAUUAUAUAAAUCAUAUAUUUGAGGCUUAUAUGAUUAUUUAUUCCGAAAAUUGUUUGAUUUAUAUGUUUCAAAAUUUU
RNAcentral lists this long non-coding RNA (303 nucleotides) under Salvia miltiorrhiza (redroot sage). Its description in RNAcentral is "long non-coding RNA (SMIL_LNC003343)". The record is from RNAcentral. Lineage: Eukaryota; Viridiplantae; Streptophyta; Magnoliopsida; Lamiales; Lamiaceae.